GCAGCUCCGGAAGGGAGAUCUGUGUACAGCUGUCAGCCCUGCACGCCAGUGACAGUCCCUGCGGCUGUGACCCCUGCUCUCCGCUCACUGCCGUGGGCACUGUAAACGGACAGUGGGGCUGUGCGGCUGGAUGCAACGAGGAUGAAAGCCGUCAGUUGUUGCAGUGAGUGUCAGUGUAGAGCAGGGGUGACAUCUGUGCACACUGAGCAGAGAGCGGGGCUAUGCAAGUGAGGUUGCAGGGGGACGGGAGUGAGAGCGAGGCAGCAGGGAUGGCAGUUGCUCUAAGAGUGAGACUGCAGGGGGAGGGAGUGAGAGCGAGGCAGCAGGAAUGGUAGGCGCUCUGCGCGUGAGCUAAGCAUCUGGCUGUGAAAUAAUGAGUCUGCUGGCUCCUCCUCGGUGAAGUGUGGGUGGAAUCAGUCCCCCCCAGCAGGCUUCAGUGACGUAGAGCCUGCUGGCAGCUCACACUAUGUGAGCAAGAAGAAAGGUUUUGAUUUUAAAAAUCUGUCGCACUGCGACAGAAUUUUCAUUGAGAUACAUUUAUGCAUGCACCAGAUUUUAAUGUGAGACAGUAUUAACCCUGCGACAGAUUUUGAAGGCUGUCCGGCCAUACUAGGAAUUGUAGUUUUUCAACAGCUGGAGACACGAUGUUUGGAGAACACUGGAUUUUGGAUACCUUUAGGAUUGGAGAAUGCAUCCUAGCCUACCACAAGAUCAAGCACAUAAUUAGGUUGCCUUGAAAUCAGGACGGUCCAACAUUCAAAAUCCAGUAAUAAGGCUAAAAUAGGAAGAGAUCUCCUCCCCUGGUCUGUCCCAGCCACACCCCUUUUCCACAGGUCUCAGCGGUGAGGACAGCUGGGAAAUGUAGUUUUAAAAGGUUGUACUGGAGGAAGGAGCAGCAAAAAAAUAGAGCAGUGGGCAAAGGAUGACUGUGCAUCGGGGAGCAGUAAAUGGUGCCAGGAACAACUCAAGGGGACUAUGAAAUGGAAUGAUAGGAGUAGUCACACCUAACAAAGACGGCAUUAAUUAAGAUUUCACAAAUGAAACAAAAGCGCGAUUAUCCUCACUCCAGUAGAGUGCACCAACCCUAGAUAAAAGCAAUUGCAUUUCAAUAUAUUUGUGUACAACCUUCAUUAAAACAUCAGCCAAGCGAGAAAGAACGCGCUACUAAAAGAAUGAACAUAUUAUUCUGUAAACCAGCGAAGCUCGUAUCAAGACAGCUCAUAAAAACAGGCACGUCCUUUCAGAAUUACAUAAUUUUUGGUAUGCAGCAAGUCAUUAAAAUGUUAUAAAGCUAUUUUGUGAAGAGUUUAGAACAUCUGUGCACAUUGCUUAGAUGCAUUUUACAGAGUAAAUAGUUUUACCCCCUUCGUUGUUAUGGAUUUAUA
This is a long non-coding RNA of Hyla sarda, 1385 nucleotides long. RefSeq lists it as uncharacterized. The record is from RefSeq and is a predicted model, not a curated record. The transcript is spliced from 5 exons. NCBI's taxonomy places the organism in Eukaryota, Metazoa, Chordata, Amphibia, Anura, Hylidae.